AGGGUGUAAACGCUGCGGGCUUGGUGUUGGGGUCCGUUUGAGGGCGGCCCAGUGCCGGAGAGAAGUUGUUAAGCCUGCUGCUUGGGGAGUACGUCCGCAAGGAUGAAACUUAAAGGAAUUGGCGGGGGAGGCACCGCAACGGGAGGAGCGUGCGGUUCAAUUGGAUUCAACGCCGGACAACUCACCGGACAAGACAGCGGAAUGAUUGCCGGGCUGAAGACCCUGCAUGACCAGCUGAGAGGAGGUGCAUGGCGUAGUCGUGU
Molecule: ribosomal RNA, 263 nt
Filed under: uncultured archaeon
Lineage: Archaea
Description: partial 16S ribosomal RNA
Rfam family: Archaeal small subunit ribosomal RNA
Source: RNAcentral